Molecule: ribosomal RNA, 836 nt
Filed under: uncultured Bacteroidota bacterium
Lineage: Bacteria; Pseudomonadati; Bacteroidota
Description: bacterial SSU rRNA
Rfam family: Bacterial small subunit ribosomal RNA
Source: RNAcentral
AACGCUAGCGGCAGGCUUAACACAUGCAAGUCGAGGGGCAGCACGAGAGCUUGCUCUUGGUGGCGACCGGCGCACGGGUGCGUAACGCGUAUACAACUUACCCUUUACAGGGGGAUAGCCCGAGGAAACUCGGAUUAAUACCCCAUAACAUUAUGAUAUCGCAUGGUAUUAUAAUUAAAACUUCGGUGGUAGAGGAUGGGUAUGCGUAAGAUUAGAUAGUUGGUGAGGUAACGGCUCACCAAGUCUACGAUCUUUAGGGGGCCUGAGAGGGUGAACCCCCACACUGGUACUGAGACACGGACCAGACUCCUACGGGAGGCAGCAGUGAGGAAUAUUGCGCAACGGAGGAAACUCUGACGCAGCCAUGCCGCGUGCAGGAAGACGGCCUUAUGGGUUGUAAACUGCUUUUAUACGAGAAUAAACCCAACUACGUGUAGUUGGCUGAAGGUAUCGUACGAAUAAGCACCGGCUAACUCCGUGCCAGCAGCCGCGGUAAUACGGAGGGUGCAAGCGUUAUCCGGAUUCAUUGGGUUUAAAGGGUGCGUAGGCGGUUUAAUAAGUCAGUGGUGAAAGCCUCCCGCUCAACGGGAGAACUGCCAUUGAUACUGUUAGACUUGAAUCUAGUUGAAGUGGGCGGAAUAUGUCAUGUAGCGGUGAAAUGCAUAGAUAUGACAUAGAACGCCGAUUGCGAAGGCAGCUCACUAAGCUAGUACUGACGCUGAGGCACGAAAGCGUGGGUAGCGAACAGGAUUAGAUACCCUGGUAGUCCACGCCGUAAACGAUGGUCACUCGCUGUUGGCGACACAAUGUCAGUGGCUGAGCGAAAGCAUUAAGUG